GAGGUGCAUCACAUCCGACUUGAGCAGGAAACUGAAUGUCGUGUCUCGUCACAGAAGGGGUGGGUGGCUUGGAAUGUCAUCUAUAAUGACCCACCCAGCUCUGCCCACUUACCUUCCACAAUCUGCUGGCUGGGUUAAAGCGAACGGAGCAUCAAGAGAUCAUCAAUCUGUGUGUAACACUUUGAUAUGUAUCAUCAAAACCAUUAUUUGUUGUGGUCAGACAGACCAGUCUGUAGGCAUAGCUUGAGAAGACGCUGUGGUGGACUUGGCUAUGAUUGCUGUGGACAGCAGGAGAAUGAGGACAGCAGUGCUUCAUGGAUGCAUGAGCAACCGACAGUGUGCUAUUAUGCUGGUGAAACUGACCUCACCCACGAAUAUAUUGAGAUAGAGACAGAUUCCUGCUUGACUGUAGCUGAUCAAGAUUUUGAAGAGGUCCACAUUGGACAGGAGCUGGAAGACCACGAAGUCUGGUUGGAACAGACCCAUCAAACAGACUAUGACCAAGAACACAUUCACGGAGUGUCGUCUUGCCCUCCGACAAAUCACAGAAUGAAUGAAGGGUCAGAACAGAAUAAAGGCUGUUUAUGCCCAUACAGGACUGUUCAUUCAAGAUGGGGCAAUGAGGCAACCAACCAGUGUCCAUGUGUGUCUCCUCAGUGUUUUAAUGUGAGGAACACCCUGGUAGUCGGUGUUGAGGUGGAUGUUCUAGAAGAGCUGGUUUAUGAAGACACAGAAAUUGUGCAAACACAGACAGUGUUUGAUGGAAGUCUGGAAAACCAUCCUAUGAACUCCACAUCAUGUUGUUGCAACCAACUGUUUCUUCAGUGAACAGAAUUGCAAUUAUUUUAGUAGUACUAUUGUUAUUAGUAUUAGUAGUUGUAUCGGUUGUAUUUUACAGUGUUUGUGUGUUUCUACAUGAUUAUAUCUACAUCUUCUGCAGAAAGGUGCUGCAUACAGGACAAUCCAAUCAAUAUAAUCACCAUUCAUAUAUUAUUCAUUCACUUUUCUACACUGGAUUUAAUGAGUGAUUGCAAUAACUCUUAAACAAAGUCAUUCAAAGUGGGUUUGAUCCAAAAUGUUCCAUUCUAGAGAAACUUACCAAAAUUCCAUACAUUGGUGGUGAUAUAUAAAACCAUAAAUACAGUAUAUAUAAGUAAAACAAGCACAACCACAUUAAAAAAAAUUACUAGAGUUUUGUUAAUGAACUGUUUAUAACAAUUAAAGAGUGUUAAAUCCA
This 1237-nucleotide long non-coding RNA is filed under the name Astyanax mexicanus (Mexican tetra). RNAcentral describes it as "lncRNA (ENSAMXG00005008240.1)". The record is from RNAcentral. Lineage: Eukaryota; Metazoa; Chordata; Actinopteri; Characiformes; Acestrorhamphidae.